This 737-nucleotide ribosomal RNA is filed under the name uncultured bacterium. Its description in RNAcentral is "bacterial SSU rRNA". It matches the Rfam family "Bacterial small subunit ribosomal RNA", at positions 57 to 792 of the family's 1533-position model. The record is from RNAcentral.
GCAGUCGACGGUAACAGGAUGUGCUUGCGCAUCGCUGACGAGUGGCGGACGGGUGAGUAAUGCUUGGGAACUUGCCUUUGCGAGGGGGAUAACAGUUGGAAACGACUGCUAAUACCGCAUAAUGUCUUCGGACCAAACGGGGCUUAGGCUCCGGCGCAAAGAGAGGCCCAAGUGAGAUUAGCUAGUUGGUAAGGUAACGGCUUACCAAGGCGACGAUCUCUAGCUGUUCUGAGAGGAAGAUCAGCCACACUGGGACUGAGACACGGCCCAGACUCCUACGGGAGGCAGCAGUGGGGAAUAUUGCACAAUGGGGGAAACCCUGAUGCAGCCAUGCCGCGUGUGUGAAGAAGGCCUUCGGGUUGUAAAGCCCUUUCAGUUGUGAGGAAAAGUUAGUAGUUAAUACCUGCUAGCCGUGACGUUAACAACAGAAGAAGCACCGGCUAACUCCGUGCCAGUAGCCGCGGUAAUACGGAGGGUGCGAGCGUUAAUCGGAAUUACUGGGCGUAAGGCGCACGCAGGCGGUUUGUUAAGCUAGACGUGAAAGCCCCGGGCUCAACCUGGGAUGGUCAUUUAGAACUGGCAGACUAGAGUCUUGGAGAGGGGAGUGGAAUUCCAGGUGUAGCGGUGAAAUGCGUAGAUAUCUGGAGGAACAUCAGUGGCGAAGGCGACUCCCUGGCCAAAGACUGACGCUCAUGUGCGAAAGUGUGGGUAGCGAACGGGAUUAGAUACCCUGGGUA